RNAcentral lists this ribosomal RNA (497 nucleotides) under uncultured bacterium. Its description in RNAcentral is "partial 16S ribosomal RNA". It matches the Rfam family "Bacterial small subunit ribosomal RNA", at positions 28 to 507 of the family's 1533-position model. The record is from RNAcentral.
GAUGAACGCUGGCGGCGUGCCUAAUACAUGCAAGUCGAGCGAACAGACGCGGCUCUUGCUCCUCUCACGUUAGCGGCGGACGGGUGAGUAACACGUGUAUAACCUACCUAUAAUACUGGUAUAACUUCGGGAAACCGGCGCAAACCCGGGAUAAUAUCUUGAACCGCAGGGUUCAUUGGAGAAAUUCGGUUUUGGUGUCUCUUAUAGCUGCUUCCUCGCCGCAUGAGCUGGUUGGUAGGGUAACGGCUUACCAAGGCAACGAGGCGUAGCCGACCGGAGAGGGGGAUCGGCCACACUGGAACUGAGACACGGACCAGACUCCUACGGGAGGCAGCAGUAGGGAAUCGGCCGCAAUGGGCGAAAGCCUGACGGAGCAACGCCGCGUGAGUGAUGACGGUCUUCGGAGCGUAAAACUCUGUUAUGAGGGAAGAACAAAUGUGUAAGUAAAUAUGCACGUCUUGACGGUAACUAAUCAGAAAGCCACGGCUAACUACGUG